Molecule: ribosomal RNA, 717 nt
Filed under: uncultured eukaryote
Lineage: Eukaryota
Description: SSU rRNA
Rfam family: Eukaryotic small subunit ribosomal RNA
Source: RNAcentral
UGUCUCAGUAUAAGUCAUCUUAAGACGAAACUGCGAAUGGCUCAUUAAAACAGUUAUAGUUUAUUUGGUGGUCAAAUUUUAUUCGGAUAACUGUGGUAAUUCUAGAGCUAAUACGUGCAUAAAGACCCAACUUCACGGAAGGGUUGUAUUUAUUAGAUACAGAACCAAUUCGGGCAACCGAUAUUGGAUGACUCAUGAUAAAUGAACGGAGCGUAUGGCUUGAGCCGACGCUGUACCAUUCAAGUUUCUGACCUAUCAGCUUUCGACGGUAGGGUAUUGGCCUACCGUGGCAUUGACGGGUAACGGAGAAUUAGGGUUCGAUUCCGGAGAGGGAGCCCGAGAAACGGCUACCACAUCUAAGGAAGGCAGCAGGCGCGCAAAUUACCCAAUCCUGACACAGGGAGGUAAGUGACAAGAAAUAACAAAGCAGGCCACAACGUGGUUUUGCUAUUGGAAUGAGUAGAAUUUAAAUCUCUUUAUGACUAUCGAUUGGAGGGCAAGUCUGGUGCCAGCAGCCGCGGUAAUUCCAGCUCCAAUAGCGUAUAUUAAAGUUGUUGCGGGUAAAAAGCUCGUAGUUGGAUUUCUGGUGAGGGUGACCGGUCCGGUCUUUGAGCGCGUAUCUGGUCAGCCUGCAUCCUCUGGGGAACGCUACUGUGCUGAUGCAUGCAGCGGUAUUCAGACUUUUACUUGAGGAAUUAGAGUGUUCACUGCAGCGUU